RNAcentral lists this ribosomal RNA (250 nucleotides) under uncultured prokaryote. RNAcentral's name for it is "partial 16S ribosomal RNA". It matches the Rfam family "Bacterial small subunit ribosomal RNA", at positions 524 to 774 of the family's 1533-position model. The record is from RNAcentral.
UACGUAGGGGGCGAGCGUUGUCCGGAAUUACUGGGCGUAAAGAGUACGUUGGCGGUCCUGUAAGCGUAUGGUGAAAGGCAUCGGCUCAACCAGUGUCAGCCGUGCGAACUGCAGGACUUGAGUGCGGGAGAGGAAAGCGGAAUUCCUGGUGUAGCGGUGAAAUGCGUAGAGAUCAGGAGGAACACCGGUGGCGAGGGCGGCUUUCUGGACCGUAACUGACGCUGAGGUACGAAGGCGUGGGGAGCAAACA